Molecule: non-coding RNA, 457 nt
Filed under: Pongo abelii (Sumatran orangutan)
Lineage: Eukaryota; Metazoa; Chordata; Mammalia; Primates; Hominidae
Source: RNAcentral
ACAAAGGGCACCCUUAUGCUGCUGUAAACCAGGGCCAGCAUUUUUAAAAUGUGAGACACCUGUUUCCCUAGAGUGUGAAGAGGAGGAGAAAGGCUAAGAUCUUUUCCAAUGCAAAAUUAGGAAAAAAUAUACUAUGGGUAAGAUGGAGCAAGCAUGCUCUGCACCUUGUGUCUCCCUCAAAAUGUGGCUCUAAAACCUGAACAGGAUACAGCAACUAUCUGAGGUCUCUGAAAAGCAAACAGUAACACGCAAAAAGGAGAAGAGGACAGGAAUCUGAAGUAGCACCAAACCAGUGAUUUAUGAAAAAAUAAGAAGUGAAAGUAUUCUCUGACUGCAAGUAUGACCAACUGUCUUUCUAUAUCAGAACCCGAGCUAGAAGACUGCAUUUACUACCCUUCUUUGCUAACAAGAGUGACUAUGUGACUAUGUUCUGCCCAAUGCAAACAGCCUGAAAAGC